AGUGAACGCUGGCGGUAGGCCUAAUACAUGCAAGUCGAGCGGCAGCACAAGAAGAGCUCUCUCUUACGGUUGGCGAGUGGCGGACGGGUGAGACAUACAUCGCCAUCUACUUAGACGUGGGUGAUAUCGGGGGACAAGUGACACUAAUGGCGCAUAUGACGUACGGGUUAAAUCAGUAGUGCUACAGACCUUUGCUGUUUCAUUGAGCCGGUGCCGGGUCGCAUUAGCUAGUUGGUAAGGUAACGGCUUACCAAGGCAACGAUGCGUAGCUGAUCUGAGAGGGUGAUCGGCCACACUGGAACUGAGACACGGUCCAGACUCCUACGGGAGGCAGCAGUAGGGAAUCUUCCGCAAUGGGCGAAAGCCUGACGCAGCCACGCCGCGUGAGUGAUGAAGGUCUUCGGGUCGUAAAGCUCUUUUAUUAGGGAAGAACAGAAGUAUAAGUAACUAUGCACGUCUUGACGGUACCUAAACAGUAAGCCCCGGCUAACUUCGUG
Molecule: ribosomal RNA, 497 nt
Filed under: uncultured bacterium
Lineage: Bacteria
Description: partial 16S ribosomal RNA
Rfam family: Bacterial small subunit ribosomal RNA
Source: RNAcentral